GUCGUUAAUCUUGUCAAACGUCACUACUCUCUGGCAGGUUUGUGGUUCUAUCAGUAAGAAACAGAGACGUCUGGAACACACAGAUAGUUCGUCUUAAACAGAUAUGAACUCAGCUGUAACCCUGUGAGCGCCCUGCAUGAAGUCCCAGAGGGGGUUAUAAGGAAUAAAGUCAAGUACAGUCAGUUUACAUCCAGUAAACUCGUGUUAGACUUUAUGUUGUCUAAAAGCACAAACAGCUGCGUUGUUGUGUUUGCAUUCAAAGAGCGCGCUUACCGAGUACGAGGAGCAGGAGUGGCAGCAACAUCUUCAUCACCGGUUAAAGUCCUGAUAACAACAACACACAGCUGCUGCUGCACUAAAGUUGCUGUAUUCACCUUGGCUCACGCUCCACCUCCGGACUCAGGAUACCAAGCAAUCAUUCUGAAAAUCUCUCUGUGCCUCACCGGUAGUGAUGGGCAGAUGAAGCUUCAUGAAGCACUGAAGCUUUUCAUCCAAUUGGUUCACUCCAGUGCAAAGCUUCUUGAAGCUUCAUUUGCUCUAGUAGGACACCUACUGGACGUAAAAAUAGUAGUUGGCAUGAAUUUGAAGAGUGUGGCCUUUUGCACACAGCCUGUAAAUGUCAACAACAAAAGGA
Long non-coding RNA from Astatotilapia calliptera (eastern happy), 634 nucleotides. NCBI's taxonomy places the organism in Eukaryota, Metazoa, Chordata, Actinopteri, Cichliformes, Cichlidae. The record is from Ensembl.